AUUGAACGCUGGCGGCAUGCUUUACACAUGCAAGUCGAACGGUAACAGGCCUUCGGGUGCUGACGAGUGGCGAACGGGUGAGUAAUGCAUCGGAACGUACCCAGAGGUGGGGGAUAACGCAGCGAAAGCUGUGCUAAUACCGCAUGUGAUCUGAGGAUGAAAGCGGGGGACCGAGCAGCAAUGUUUGGCCUCGCGCCUUUGGAGCGGCCGAUGUCGGAUUAGCUAGUUGGUGGGGUAAAGGCCUACCAAGGCGACGAUCCGUAGCUGGUCUGAGAGGACGACCAGCCACACUGGGACUGAGACACGGCCCAGACUCCUACGGGAUGCAGCAGUGGGGAAUUUUGGACAAUGGGCGCAAGCCUGAUCCAGCAAUGCCGCGUGCGGGAAGAAGGCCUUCGGGUUGUAAACCGCUUUUGGCAGGAACGAAACGGUGUCCGCUAAUACCGGGCGCUAAUGACGGUACCUGCAGAAUAAGCACCGGCUAACUACGUG
This 492-nucleotide ribosomal RNA is filed under the name uncultured bacterium. Its description in RNAcentral is "partial 16S ribosomal RNA". It matches the Rfam family "Bacterial small subunit ribosomal RNA", at positions 30 to 507 of the family's 1533-position model. The record is from RNAcentral.